Molecule: ribosomal RNA, 315 nt
Filed under: Salmonella enterica subsp. enterica serovar Typhimurium str. LT2-4
Lineage: Bacteria; Pseudomonadati; Pseudomonadota; Gammaproteobacteria; Enterobacterales; Enterobacteriaceae
Description: bacterial LSU rRNA
Rfam family: Bacterial large subunit ribosomal RNA
Source: RNAcentral
GUCGUGAGACAGUUCGGUCCCUAUCUGCCGUGGGCGCUGGAGAACUGAGGGGGGCUGCUCCUAGUACGAGAGGACCGGAGUGGACGCAUCACUGGUGUUCGGGUUGUCAUGCCAAUGGCACUGCCCGGUAGCUAAAUGCGGAAGAGAUAAGUGCUGAAAGCAUCUAAGCACGAAACUUGCCCCGAGAUGAGUUCUCCCUGAGACUUAGAGUCUCCUGAAGGAACGUUGAAGACGACGACGUUGAUAGGCCGGGUGUGUAAGCGCAGCGAUGCGUUGAGCUAACCGGUACUAAUGAACCGUGAGGCUUAACCUUAC